AGAUAACAUACUGGUUUUAACUUUUGAACAUCUUGAAUCUUGUGAAAGGGAAGGCCGCUUAGCUAAGGUAUUUGAAACACUUCUCUAGUCAUUUCAGAUAACAGUUCUGAGUGCCUACAAGUCAAAAUUUGCUCAGUUUGUUAUAUUUUAUGCUUGCGCAUUAGAUCCUGAAAACGGUGGUAUGAGAUUUGCCACAAUGCUGGUAGAAUUAUUUGUCCAAUACUCACAGCCCCAACCAACCAGGU
Long non-coding RNA from Hibiscus syriacus, 245 nucleotides. RefSeq lists it as uncharacterized. The record is from RefSeq and is a predicted model, not a curated record. NCBI's taxonomy places the organism in Eukaryota, Viridiplantae, Streptophyta, Magnoliopsida, Malvales, Malvaceae. The transcript has 3 exons.